Molecule: ribosomal RNA, 492 nt
Filed under: uncultured bacterium
Lineage: Bacteria
Description: partial 16S ribosomal RNA
Rfam family: Bacterial small subunit ribosomal RNA
Source: RNAcentral
AGUGAACGCUGGCGGUAGGCCUAACACAUGCAGGUCGAACGGCAGCACAGUAAGAGCUUGCUCUUACGGGUGGCGAGUGGCGGACGGGUGAGGAAUACAUCGGAAUCUACUUUUUCGUGGGGGAUAACGUAGGGAAACUUACGCUAAUACCGCAUACGACCUACGGGUGAAAGCAGGGGAUCUUCGGACCUUGCGCGAUUGAAUGAGCCGAUGUCGGAUUAGCUAGUUGGCGGGGUAACGGCCCACCAAGGCGACGAUCCGUAGCUGGUCUGAGAGGAUGAUCAGCCACACUGGAACUGAGACACGGUCCAGACUCCUACGGGAGGCAGCAGUGGGGAAUAUUGGACAAUGGGCGCAAGCCUGAUCCAGCCAUACCGCGUGAGUGAAGAAGGCCUUCGGGUCGUAAAGCCCUGUUGUUGGGAAAGAAAAGCAGCAUGUUAAUCCCUCGCUGUUUUGACGGUACCCAAAGAAUAAGCACCGGCUAACUUCGUG